Aquila chrysaetos chrysaetos is the source of this 923-nucleotide long non-coding RNA. RefSeq lists it as uncharacterized. The transcript has 5 exons. The record is from RefSeq and is a predicted model, not a curated record. Lineage: Eukaryota; Metazoa; Chordata; Aves; Accipitriformes; Accipitridae.
GUCCAGUGUUGCUCUUCCCUAUAUGCUGUUACAUAAAAGACUUAAGGAAACCAUAAUUACUGCAGACUGUUGGGAAGAAGAAAAUAAAAGUCCACUUUCUAAGCCUCAGUAAGCACACACAGCAGAAACCAGGAGAUAAGGAGUUGCAUGAUCUCAGACCACUACUGCUGAUGAAUUCAGGAAUAUGUAUUGUAGCAGAUUGACAAAUAGACAUACUUCUGCUGUUAAUGAAAGAGUGCUAUUAAGACUGCAGGGUUGCAACUGAAAAGCUUUGUUAAGCUCCAUCCGAGAGUCCAAGAGCAAAGCAGCGCUGGCGGAGAGGACUCCUGAAGGCUGUCGCUGAUUCCCAGGAAAACUAAACCAGUUGCACUUCAGCGCACUUGCAGAGGGUUGAAAGGAAGCAAGACAGAAUGAGCUCACGUUGCCAGUGGACUGGAGAGACCAUGAGAAAACCACAGCAGCAUUAGGAAGUACCCACAUGAAUUGCUCUAUUCCUUUCUGUGUUUUACAUCUGCAAAGGCUGACUAUACUCUUUGCUGUUAAGAAUGACCAAAUUAUGCCCUAGGUGGAGGAGUCAAACAUGUUAGAAAAAAAUAUGUUUAUUACGUGAGUGUAAACUUGAGAGAAAAUGCUUUUUCUGUUCUUCCAGUUGUUUGGGAAAAUAUGCAUUGUGAGCAGUGAUACUACAGAUCACUUUCCUCCAAGGCUGUGCUUAGAAAUCCAUGAGAAGAAGUAUUUCACAGCAAGACCGCACAGCCUUCCUGGUGCAAUGAGAUACACGCAAAAAGUCUUUAGACAGCUGAGUACUGCAGAAGAUACCUGCAUCCCUCAGAGAGAGAGUCAAAGGGAGUUCCAACAACAGGACAGAGGUAGUAGGUGGCAAUGUCCAUCUGAUCCAGCGGUAUGAGCUCUGGGACUCUCAA